CUCCGUCUGUCUCUCUCUCCCCCACACACUGACUCGGCUACUAACAGUACAGUACUCAAUCACUGACUCGGCUACUAACAGUACAGUACUGAAUCACUGACACAGCCAUUAACAGUACGGUACUGAAUUACUCUGCUACUAACAGUGCAGUGCUGAAUUACUGACUCAUCUACUAACAGUACAGUACUGAAUCACUGUGACUCAGCUACUAACAGUACAGUACUGAAACAUGGACACAGCUACUAACAGUACAGUACUGAAUCACUGACUCAGCUACUAACAGUACAGUACUGAAUCACUGACACAGCCAUUAACAGUACGGUACUGAAUUACUCUGCUACUAACAGUGCAGUGCUGAAUUACUGACUCACCUACUAACAGUACAGUACUGAAUCACUGACUCAGCUACUAACAGUACAGUACUGAAACACUGACUCAGCUACUAACAGUACAGUACUGAAACACGGACACAGCUACUAACAGUACAGUACUCAAUCACUGACUCAGCUACUAACAGUACAGUACUGAAUCACUGACACAGCCAUUAACAGUACGGUACUGAAUUACUCUGCUACUAACAGUGCAGUGCUGAAUUACUGACUCAGCUACUAACAGUACAGUACUGAAUCACUGACACAGCCAAUAACAGUACGGUACUGAAUUACUCUGCUACUAACAGUACAGUACUGAAUCACUGACACAGCCAUUAACAGUACGGUACUGAAUUACUCUGCUACUAACAGUGCAGUGCUGAAUUACUGACUCAUCUACUAACAGUACAGUACUGAAUCACUGACUCAGCUACUAACAGUACAGUACUGAAACACUGACUCAGCUACUAACAGUACAGUACUGAAACACGGACACAGCUACUAACAGUACAGUACUCAAUCACUGACUCAGCUACUAACAGUACAGUACUGAAUCACUGACACAGCCAAUAACAGUACGGUACUGAAUUACUCUGUUACUAACAGUGCAGUGCUGAAUUACUGACUCAUCUACUAACAGUACAGUACUGAAUCACUGACUCAGCUACUAACAGUACAGUACUGAAACACUGACUCAGCUACUAACAGUACAGUACUGAAUUACUGACUCAUCUACUAACAAUACAGUACUGAAUCACUGACUCAGCUACUAACAGUACAGUACUGAAACACGGACACAGCUACUAACAGUACAGUACUCAAUCACUGACUCAGCUACUAACAGUACAGUACUGAAUCACUGACACAGCCAUUAACAGUACGGUACUGAAUUACUCUGCUACUAACAGUGCAGUGCUGAAUUACUGACUCAUCUAAUAACAGUACAGUACUGAAUCACUGACUUAGCUACUAACAGUACAGUACUGAAUCACUGACUCGGCUACUAACAGUACAGUACUCAAUCACUGACUCAGCUACUAACAGUACAGUACUGAAUCAUUGACACAGCCAUUAACAGUACGGUACUGAAUUACUCUGCUACUAACAGUGCAGUGCUGAAUUACUGACUCAGCUACUAACAGUACAGUACUGAAUCACUGACUCAGCUACUAACAGUACAGUACUGAAACAUGGACACAGCUACUAACAGUACAGUACUCAAUCACUGACUCAGCUACUAACAGUACAGUACUGAAUCACUGACACAGCCAUUAACAGUACGGUACUGAAUUACUCUGCUACUAACAGUGCAGUGCUGAAUUACUGACUCAUCUACUAACAGUACAGUACUGAAUCACUGACUCAGCUACUAACAGUACAGUACUGAAACACUGACUCAGCUACUAACAGUACAGUACUGAAACACAGACACAGCUACUAACAGUACAGUACUCAAUCACUGACUCAGCUACUAACAGUACAGUACUGAAUCACUGACACAGCCAUUAACAGUACGGUACUGAAUUACUCUGCUACUAACAGUGCAGUGCUGAAUUACUGACUCAUCUAAUAACAGUACAGUACUGAAUCACUGACUCAGCUACUAACAGUACAGUACUGAAACACUGACUCAGCUACUAACAGUACAGUACUGAAUUACUGACUCAUCUACUAACAGUACAGUACUGAAUCACUGACUCAGCUACUAACAGUACAGUACUGAGACACGGACACAGCUACUAACAGUACAGUACUCAAUCACUGACUCAGCUACUAACAGUACAGUACUGAAUCACUGACACAGCCAUUAACAGUACGGUACUGAAUUACUCUGCUACUAACAGUGCAGUGCUGAAUUACUGACUCAUCUAAUAACAGUAUAGUACUGAAUCACUGACUCAGCUACUAACAGUACAGUACUGAAUUACUGACUCAUCUACUAAUAGUACAGUACUGAAUCACUGACUCAGCUACUAACAGUACAGUACUGAAACACGGACACAGCUACUAACAGUACAGUACUCAAUCACUGACUCAGCUACUAACAGUACAGUACUGAAUCACUGACACAGCCAUUAACAGUACGGUACUGAAUUACUCUGCUACUAACAGUGCAGUGCUGAAACACUGACUCAGCUACUAACAGUACAGUACUGAAUCACUGACUCAGCUACUAACAGUACAGUACUGAAACACAGACACAGCUACUAACAGUACAGUACUCAAUCACUGACUCAGCUACUAACAGUACAGUACUGAAUCACUGACACAGCCAUUAACAGUACGGUACUGAAUUACUCUGCUACUAACAGUGCAGUGCUGAAUUACUGACUCAUCUACUAACAGUACAGUACUGAAUCACUGUGACUCAGCUACUAACAGUACAGUACUGAAUUACUGACACAGCUAUUAACAGUACAGUACUGAAUUACUGACACAGCUGUUGACAGUACAGUACUGAAUUACUGACUCAGCUCCUAACAGUACAGCACUGAAUCACAGACUCAAUUACAGACAGUGCAGUACUGAAUUAUUUAACAGUACAGAAAUGAAUUACUGACACAGCUGCUGACAGUACAGUACUGAAUUACUGACUCAGCUACAAAUGGUGCAGCACUAAAUUACUAACAAAUCUGUUAACAGUACAGUACUGAAAUACUGACUCAGCUACUAACAGUACAGUACUGAAUUACUGAUAGUUACUAACAGUACAGUACUGAAUGACUGAGUCACUAACAGUACACUACUGAAUUACUGAUACAGCUGAUGAUAAUAUAGUAGUAUAGUAAUUUCUGACACUGCUACUGACAAUAUACCAUUGAAUUACUGACACAGUUACUGAAAGUAUAGUAGUGAAUUACUGACAGUUACUAAAAUGACAGUCCUGAAUUACUGACACAGUUACUGACAGUAUAGUAGUGAAUUAUUGACACAGCUACUGACAGUAUAGUACUGAAUCACUGACACAGUUACGGACAGUAUAGUAGUGAAUUACGGACAUUUGUUAACAUUACAGUACUGAAUUACUGACACAGUUACUGACAGUAUAGUAGUGAAUUACUGACACUGCUACUGACAGUAUAGUACUGAAUUACUGACACAGUUACUGAACGUAUAGUAGUGAAUUACUCACAGUUGCUAACAUAACAGUACUGUAUUACUUACACAGUUACUGACAGUAUAGUAGCAAAUUACUGACACCGCUACUGACAGCAUACUAUUGAAUUACUGACACAGCUACUAACAGCACAAUCUGAUUUAAUGACACAGAUUUGACAUUUUCAUAACAGCACAGAUUCUGAUUUUGUGUGCAUCAUUUCUGAUGCGAGCACAGCGUUUACACAGAUCGACUUUCCUUUACCCGGAAUGCUGUGCUCACAUCCUAACAGUAAAUAUGAGGUUUCCUUUCACUGGAAAUGUUUACUGAUUCGAAAUGAGCCGUAUUUUAAUCAGUAUAUCUUGCCGGUAAUGGAUAAUGAUAUGGGUCCAACAUCUAGAAUGUUUGCCAACAAUGAGUGAGAUGGAUGUUCACAAUAGGGCCCUGCGUUGCUAUGGAGACCACAACAAACACCUUUCUGGCAUUGGGCUCAGCAGCACGCUGUCCAGCUGACCGGAGGCUGAGGCUGUUUUAGAAUAGAAAUGCUGGAACAGAGCCUGGGCAUACAAUGCUGGUGGGCCUAGAUGUGAAAGGGAUCUACAUUUUGUGUGCAUUAGUGUGCUUUGUUUGUGUUUCACUGGAAUGUAGUUUCAGAAAUGCCUAUUUCCUCUGGUGCUGCUGGGAGGUGGAGUGCUGAGAACAAGACUGAGGGCUCUUAUUUAAAGAUGUAUUUAGGAACCCUCCCUCAGGAGAAGAGGAUGCUCCUGGAGACCACUUUGGAGGCAGAAUGUAUUUCUGGUGCAGCUAGAGAGAAAGAAGACGUACCAUCAGAAGGCAGGCGUCCAGAAGGAGAAACAAAUGGAGCAGAGACGGCCAAGUGACGGAGAUGCCGACGGUGGACAGCUUGGACAAAUGCCCCCAAAGUCGUCCACAUGCACUGUGCUGUAAAACACACAAACAAGUAGAGACCACAUCGUCUUCUUUGAUAACGGGGUUGAAAUCUUAAAUAUCUGCCUUUUAUUUUAUUUCUUUAAAGGCUAAUGAGCUUUACAGGCCUCAUAUCAUAGGUGGUUGGUUAGUGUAGUGGUUAACACCUGCCUUGUAGACUGGGGUUCAAUCCCCCACCUGGGCAAACACCCUACACUAUACCAAUAAGAGUCCUUGGGCAAGACUCCCAACACCACCUUCGCCUACCUGUGUAAAAUGAUCAAAUUGUAAGUCGCUCUGGAUAAGAGCGUCAGCUGAAUGCCAUAAAUGUAAAUAUCACCGAAGACUGAACUUUCCUCGUCUUUUUUUCCCCAGUUGUCCCCAGUUAGCAAAAUUUGUCUGGCUCACUUGUGGGCCACAUCCUUGGUUUGUUUUGGCCCAGUGGACGGCUGGGUCCUCGGCCCAGAUCUGGCCCACACACUGUAAAGUGAGUAGAACUAAAGGAUGUGGCACAAAUCUGGUCCCAUUCUGGCCCAGCUACAUUGUUGGUCCAUAAUAUUCACGCCAGAAUUGUCACAAAUGUAGACAUGAGGUAUGAAGCAGUCCAGGAUCUGGCCUGCAUGCCUAACAUCUACCCGGUUAGCGAGCCAGCACUCACACAGGAAAGCCUGUUAAAUGUUCUAGCAGUUUAGCCCCGCCCAUUCAUGCCCAAGUUAUAAGGAAUGUUUCAGCUUGGGCUGCUUUCUGAAGGAGGCACAAUACAGGACAGCCAAUCGGAAGUGAGCUCAUUUACAUACGUAAGUCUUAAAGGCAACAGCCUGUUCAAAUCUAAGUGAAAAGCUCUUUUUGGCACAUAAACCCACAGAAAUGUGAGAACAUGCCAGCUGAAGUGGGACAUGGGCCGAUUCAAAAUAUUCUUUUAUUAUAUCAUUUUCUGUUGAUGUUGUAGUCAAACCUGGUGCCACCUCCAACAGUUUCCUCUCAGGUGAUCACUGGCUGAUUCGGCAGUGGUGGUGGAUUUGGUUCGUGUUUUUUCUGCGUGCCAUGCCCUGACGUACUCCACGCUCAUGUUCAGUACUUUUAUGGUUCAGUGUUGGGGAGCAACAUUGUGAAUGUAAAUAAACA
Long non-coding RNA from Pygocentrus nattereri (red-bellied piranha), 5520 nucleotides. RefSeq lists it as uncharacterized. The transcript is spliced from 4 exons. The record is from RefSeq and is a predicted model, not a curated record. NCBI's taxonomy places the organism in Eukaryota, Metazoa, Chordata, Actinopteri, Characiformes, Serrasalmidae.